ACCAAUCCUAGCCCUAACAACAAUAAACAUAACUAAAUAACAAGAUAAAUUAAAACAUUUAGUAAAUAAAAAGUAUUGGAGAAAGAACUUUACCUUUUAGGAGCUAUAGAGAAAGUACCGCAAGGGAAAGAUGAAAGACAAAGUCAAAGUAAAAAUAAGCAAAGAUAAAACCUUGUACCUUUUGCAUAAUGAAUUAACUAGAAAAAACUCAACCAAAAGAAUUUAAGCUGAGAACCCCGAAACCAAACGAGCUACCUAAAAACAAUUUCAUGAAUCAACCCGUCUAUGUAGCAGAAUAGUGGGAGGAUUUUUAGGUAGAGGUGAAAAGCCUAACGAGCUUGGUGAUAGCUGGUUACCCAAAAAAAGAACUUCAGUUCAACUUUAAGUUUACUAUACGAAUAGACUAAUCAAAAUGUAAAUUUAAAAUAUAGCCUAAAGAGGGACAGCUCUUCAGGAUAAAGGAAAAAACCUUAAAUAGUGAAUAAACAACUUUAAUUUACUAACCAUUGUAGGCCUAGAAGCAGCCACCAAUAAAGAAAGCGUUCAAGCUCAACAUUAAAAAAAUCUUAAUUCCAUAAAUAUUAAUAACUUCCUAUUCUACAAAUUGGGUCAAUCUAUUACUCUAUAGAUGAGAUACUGUUAAUAUGAGUAACAAGAAUAACAUUCUCCUGGCAUAAGUGUAUGACAACUCGGAUAACCAUUGUCAAUUACCGAAUCAUAGGCAUGAACCCACCAAUAAAGCCUGCCUAACACUAAUUCGUUAGCCCAACACAGGAAUGCCAUAAGGAAAGAUUAAAAGAAGUAAAAGGAACUCGGCAAACAUGAGCCUCGCCUGUUUACCAAAAACAUCACCUCUAGCAUAGCAAGUAUUAGAGGCACUGCCUGCCCAGUGACUUAAGUUAAACGGCCGCGGUAUCCUGACCGUGCAAAGGUAGCAUAAUCACUUGUUCCUUAAUUAGGGACUAGAAUGAACGGCUAAACGAGGGCUCGACUGUCUCUUACUUCCAAUCAGUGAAAUUGACCUUCCAGUGAAGAGGCUGGAAUAUUACAAUAAGACGAGAAGACCCUAUGGAGCUUUAAUUUACUAGUUUAAUUUAAACCUCAAAACGACCCAAUGGUCCUAAACAAUAAAAUAAUGAACUAAAAAAUUUCGGUUGGGGUGACCUCGGAGUAUAAAAAACCCUCCGAAUGAUUCUAACUUAGACUAACAAGUCAAAGUAACAUCAGUAUCUUAUUGACCCAAUUAUUGAUCAACGGACCAAGUUACCCUAGGGAUAACAGCGCAAUCCUAUUUAAGAGUCCAUAUCGACAAUAGGGUUUACGACCUCGAUGUUGGAUCAGGACAUCCCAAUGGUGCAGAAGCUAUUAAUGGUUCGUUUGUUCAACGAUUAAAGUCCUACGUGAUCUGAGUUCAGACCGGAGCAAUCCAGGUCGGUUUCUAUCUAUUUACAAUUUCUCCCAGUACGAAAGGACAAGAGAAAUGGAGCCACCUUAUUAAAAGUGCCCCUAACCCAACUUAUGAAAAAAAUCUUAACAAAGUAAAUAUGUACAACAAACAGACCUAGAUCAGGUCA
Molecule: ribosomal RNA, 1574 nt
Filed under: Leopoldamys sabanus (long-tailed giant rat)
Lineage: Eukaryota; Metazoa; Chordata; Mammalia; Rodentia; Muridae
Description: 16S ribosomal RNA
Rfam family: Bacterial large subunit ribosomal RNA
Source: RNAcentral